AUAUGUUAUGCAGCUCAAGUAGGUGAUUUCAGAUCUUCCUUGUGAGGUACUUCAAAAAGAUGCCAAUGAUGCACAAUGAGGAGAUGCUUGGGCCUUGUGGCGUGCCUACGGCAGCAGUUCCCCUGGCAGUGCGGUGUUUUCAGCUGGAUUAGGGCGACCUUGCUAGCAAACUCGCCAUCUCUUUCCCUAGGCCAUUUUUUUAUGGAUAUAUGGACUACAAUAGGUAGUGUUUCUCUGCUCGGGUGUCAUUGUCAUCGACGGGCCUCUCAACUGUCUCGAGAUCCAGACUCAUCCAACUCGCCGCCGUUUUUAUGGGACAUAAGAGAAUAUAUGAGAAGCUAGAAGAGAAUGGUACUGCAUAUUGGGUGAAGAAGACUGCAUAUGCCUACACUGGUUGAAUGUAGUGUUUAUCAAUCAUCCAUUUUUUUUUUGAAGUGCAACCCACAUGCUCUGGCCUGUAGCAAGAAUAUAUAUGUAUAUAUGGAGGUAGGCUAAGAUUCAGAUAUUGCUGCCUUUUGCACUGCUCUUGUCUGUGGCAGGAAUAUAUAUGGAGCUAGGCCAAGAUUCAGAUAUUGAUGUCCAGGUAUUGUAGAGUUUUUGGCGCUAGAAGCAUUCAUGUUCGAUUUUCAGUUGAAUUGUUCAUGCCACCAUUUUUUACUGCCUUUGUAGCUGAACGAUUACUUAGACCGUUUGGACUAAAUUCCGAAUAUGUAGCAUUUGUUCUGUCUGGAGAAAUGACAUAUUUAUUAAUUGGAACCUUGAGUUAGGAGAUUUCUAGGGAGCAAAAACUGAAGUGUUUUCAGUGAUAUCACUGAUCUGCAAAGAGCGUGCCAACUCUACGGUAGUUGGCUGUUUCUGCCCCUAAAGGAGUAUUGUAUAAUAAGCAAACUUACACGUGGUUGUUGCUCCUGUCGAUAAACAAAUGGAUAGUUUUUAUUUGGGCAUAAGUCAAUUACCAAAUGGGAAGUACAUGCAGUAUUUGGUACAUUAAUAUUAUCUGUUGUUCAUGUAUGUUUGAUUGAAGCUACUGAAGUUGCUUCAUGGUUUAUGGAUAAAUAAUUAUAAA
Molecule: long non-coding RNA, 1066 nt
Organism: Lolium rigidum
Lineage: Eukaryota; Viridiplantae; Streptophyta; Magnoliopsida; Poales; Poaceae
Exons: 4
Source: RefSeq, a predicted model, not a curated record